CGCCGCGUGAGGGAAGACGGUCUUCGGAUUGUAAACCUCUGUUGCAGGGGAAGAAUAAAGUGACGGUACCCUGUUGGAAGGCCCCGGCAAACUACGUGCCGGCGGCCGCGGUAACCCGUGGGGGGCGGGCGUUGUCCGGAAUUACUGGGCGUAADGCGCGCGUAGGCGGUGAUUCAAGUCGGUUGUAAAAGGCACGGGCUUAACCUGUGUAUGCAUCCGAAACUGAGUAACUGGAGGAGUAGAGAGGCAAGUGGAAUUCCCGGUGUAGCGGUGAAAUGCGUVGAUAUCGGGAAGAACNCCAGUGGCGAAGGCBACUUGCUNGCUMCAUCCUGACGACUGAGGUGCGAAAGCCAGGGGCGCGAACCGGAUU
RNAcentral lists this ribosomal RNA (370 nucleotides) under uncultured delta proteobacterium. RNAcentral's name for it is "bacterial SSU rRNA". It matches the Rfam family "Bacterial small subunit ribosomal RNA", at positions 395 to 779 of the family's 1533-position model. The record is from RNAcentral. Lineage: Bacteria; Deltaproteobacteria.